Molecule: long non-coding RNA, 454 nt
Organism: Choloepus didactylus (southern two-toed sloth)
Lineage: Eukaryota; Metazoa; Chordata; Mammalia; Pilosa; Megalonychidae
Exons: 2
Source: RefSeq, a predicted model, not a curated record
GUUGACAGCUUGUUGACAGCUCUGCAGAAUUUGGACUCGUGCGCUCCCACAGUUGCGAGGAAUUUGGAAUCGUCAGAUGAACGAAUGAGUGUCAGAGAAUAAUGUCUGGGGCUCCACCAGUCCAAGAAAGUGGGUUUAGGAGGAUGAGAAGAAGAAGGUACCACCAGAGAAGGAAGUGGACUUGGAGGCCAGGAGUAAGGUUGGUCCUGCAGACCCUGCAGGGAGAACCACAGGAGAAAUUCCAGAAGUGAGGGGCCAACACAUCACCUGAAGCCCAGGACUGAGGAGCCCCUGGUGGGUACAUGGGGUUUGAACUGUUCCUCAGGGUCUCUUCUGUGGCAUCAGGGAAGGCCCACCAAGGGAUGCUGGGCCACUGUGAUUUGUCUAUUGCAAAAUAUGAACACAGUUGUUGUUUGUUUAUCUCUAAAUAAAACUUGGCUUUUCUACACUGCAA